AUUCUGUAACUCCUUUAAAAAAAAACUAAAAAACCUCUGAAAAAGGGCUCUGACCCUCGGAGCUCCGGCCUCGUGGCCGUCCUGGCUCGUCCUAGGGUUUGGCGUGCGUGGUCUCCAUACACUUAACGAGCCGCCACCAAAGCCACCGUAUACGAUGGUUAGGGUUUCAAAAACCCUCCAUUUUCUUUGCCGAUUCUCAGGUACUUGCGAAAAAUCCGGCAAUGGCAAAGGUUUGACGAUGGUCUACUAGUGGCGUUGAUCUCGGCGUGACUUGGGGCCUGGAAUCAUGGCCUUGACGGGGUAGCAGGAGCUGAAGAGUCAUGAGGCCUGGCUUCUGGAACCUUCUGUUUGUGGCGCGAGGAGAAAGAGGGCAGAAACCCUAGGGUUUCCUGCCUGGGUCUGCAGAUGUUUGGGCCAAUUGGGCCUCUGGAAAUUUUGGGUUUGUAAUGGGUAGAGGUGUUUUGGGCUACCAGUCUGUAACGGGUCCAUUGCAACUGUUUGGGACUUAGUUUAGGCUGGGAUAGUCUAGUAAAAUUUGGUUGUUGGGUCUGUGUAUUUAGGCUUUGUAAAAAAACUUUUAUGGACUGUUUAAAUUAAAUAAAUAAA
Molecule: long non-coding RNA, 606 nt
Organism: Gossypium arboreum
Lineage: Eukaryota; Viridiplantae; Streptophyta; Magnoliopsida; Malvales; Malvaceae
Exons: 2
Source: RefSeq, a predicted model, not a curated record